UUGCGAACUGCACACCCCUUCACUAGCUAUCAAAAUCACAGUGUACAGUGAUCGAGACAGAGAGGUAGACGGGAGUCGUGGUCCUCGGUGAUAUCGGCCGUAGUGCCCAUAUGCAAUAUCACUUCUCUCUCUCGCCAGGCUAGAGGUGAUGGUGGUCAUGGGUUUGAAUCUAAUGUUGCCAACCGAUCUGAUCUCUAACUAUGGUCUAGAUUGUAGCUUUAUGCAUGCAUGACUUCAUUGAUUAUCAGUUGUCGGAGAAACAAUGAAUUAGCUAUUGAUCUUGAGUUCUUGAUUAUGUGUGGCUAGUUUAAUCUAGGGCUUGUAUUGAGUGAAGUUAUGUUGCUAGUGCGAUGAUCCUAUUUCUUAUUGUGGAUUCAAUUGCUUUGUUUGUUGGAAAAUUCUAUUCUUGUCUAUUGAUUGUUGUUUUGAUGAGAUCUUA
Long non-coding RNA from Ipomoea triloba (trilobed morning glory), 439 nucleotides. RefSeq lists it as uncharacterized. The transcript has 2 exons. The record is from RefSeq and is a predicted model, not a curated record. Lineage: Eukaryota; Viridiplantae; Streptophyta; Magnoliopsida; Solanales; Convolvulaceae.